This 369-nucleotide ribosomal RNA is filed under the name uncultured eukaryote. RNAcentral describes it as "SSU rRNA". It matches the Rfam family "Eukaryotic small subunit ribosomal RNA", at positions 587 to 972 of the family's 1831-position model. The record is from RNAcentral.
AGCUCCAAUAGCGUAUAUUAAUGUUGUUGCGGUUAAAAAGCUCGUAGUUGGAUCUCCUGGGCCGAUGCACGGUCUUGUCGAUUGACAGGACUGUCGUCUGGCCUUGACAGCGAGCCGUCGGGUCUAGUGCUCUUGACCGAGUGUUAGUUCCGCGGCUCAAUUUUACUUUGAAAAAAUUAGAGUGCUCAGAGCAGGCUUUACACGCUUGAAUAAUGGAAUAGGACGUCGUUUCUAUUUUGUUGGUUUCUCGAAAUCGACGUAAUGAUCAAUAGGGACAGUUGGGGGCAUUAGUAUUGAAGCGACAGAGGUGAAAUUCUUGGACCGCUUCAAGACUCACUACUGCGAAAGCAUUUGCCAAGAAUGUUUUCA